Pseudophryne corroboree (corroboree frog) is the source of this 1899-nucleotide long non-coding RNA. RefSeq lists it as uncharacterized. The transcript is spliced from 2 exons. Lineage: Eukaryota; Metazoa; Chordata; Amphibia; Anura; Myobatrachidae. The record is from RefSeq and is a predicted model, not a curated record.
AGUAGGAAAUGAAGUUGUAGCCAUGGAUGAUGUAACAUAGCAGCCAUUGUAACCCGAAGCUGCUGACAGUAGCCGAAGUUCAUCACCAUACCUGGCUGUCAUCACACGUACAUUUUCCGUAUCAACAAAUCUGCGCCCGGAGCUCCACGGACAGUUGAGGAGGCUAUUUUCACAGCAAUACGUAGAAACAAAAGUCCGAAAAGCUGUCGAGGAUUAGAAUCAGCUUAAACGCAAUGACAGGGAUGUGAUCGCAGCGCAUGUGAAUUAAAUACUGCUGAAAAUAGUCUAUAUUCCUUACUCAUCACUAUACAGUAUGUUGCACGGUAUACUCUUCCCGUUACCAGUUGUUCGGUGUCUAUUUCUGGAGCUGGAACAGAAUGUUCUGUUUGACAUUUCAACGGGUCAACCUGAAUGCUGCUACACGAUGAAACAACUGACAAGGCUCGGGUUGUCUGGAGGAGAAAUAGACUUUGAUUAGUUUAGUCUUUGCAAACCCAAAGUAAAUGUUUAAUACUAACCUCAUGUAGUUUAUAUAAGAUAAAGUGUUUUUUUUUUUUUCGUGUAUGAAAAUGACAGUCAGAAACCAUUUGGAGCACAGUUGACUCAUUACUUACUUUUUAUGUCUCCGGGAGAAGCCCGGGAGGAGAGGGGUGGUCAUGCCUCCACCUCUGAAAAAUGGGUCUGCGGGGAGGGGCUAAAAUGAGGCAAUUUGAGUAAUUUAUCCUCGUCCCUCCAAAAACCCCCGCAAUUCCCAUAAUUAUCAUCCCAUCCUGCCCCUUUCACUAGGAUACAGACAGAAUGCGGGAGAUUUGACCACUAUUCUGGGGGUGCGGGGAACUACCCAAUAAAACGGGAGUCUCCUGCAAGUUCCAGGAGAGUUGGCUGUCUCUGAGUAUGCUCAUUGGUAGAGGUGCCUCUUGGCGUGUAGGAGUAGUAUUCUAUCUUUCAUGUAACACCCCCACCCGCUUCACAAUCUGAUGAUGAUCAUAGGUGGUCAUUCCGAGUUGUUCGCUCGUUGCCGAUUUUUGCUAUUCUGCGAUUUGCUGCUAAAUGCGCAUGGUACGCAGAGCGCAUGCGCUAAGUUAUUUUACACAAAACUUAGUAGAUUUGCUGGUGUUCUUGCGGCGCUUUUCAGUCGCUCUGCUGAUCGGUGAAUGAUUGACAGGAAGUGGGUGUUUCUGGGUGGUAACUGAGCGUUUUCCGGGAGUGUGCUAAAAAACGCAGGCGUGUCAGGGAAAAACGCGGGAGUGUCUGGAGAAAUGGGGUAGUGGCUGGCCGAACGCAGGGCGUGUUUGUGACGUCAAACCAGGAACUAAACGGACUGAGCUGAUCGCAAUCUGUGAGUAGGUCUGGAGCUACUCAGAAACUGCAGGGAAUUAUUUAGUAGCAAUUCUGCUAAUCUUUCGUUCGCUAUUCUGCUAAGCUAAGAUACACUCCCAGAGGGCGGCGGCCUAGCGUUUGCAAUGCUGCUAAAAGCAGCUAGCGAGCGAACAACUCGGAAUGAGGGCCAUGAUCAGGCUUAUUGGGGCAGAUGUAUUAAGCCUGGAGACGGCAUACAGAAGUGAUAAAGCGGUGAUAAGUGCAAGGUGAUAAUGCACCAGCCAAUCAGCUCAUAACUGUCAGUUUACAUAUUGGAGUUGAUUGGCUGGUGUGUUAUCGCCUUGCACUUAUCACUUCUUUAUCUCUUCUCCAGGUUAAUACAUCUGCCCCAUAAUUCCAGGUAGGGAUUGAACACUAGUCGCAGGAAGUUCGAAUAUGUGCAUAAAAACUCUCCUAAGGACACUUGUUCCUGGUGUCUCCAUCAGAAAGGACAUCUCUUUAGCCACUGGAACAAUCAUGUAACGGUGACAACUAUUGUAAAUCCUGGCAUUCUGUAAAAAUAAAAAGCAUUGGAACCGU